RNAcentral lists this ribosomal RNA (460 nucleotides) under uncultured bacterium. Its description in RNAcentral is "partial 16S ribosomal RNA". It matches the Rfam family "Bacterial small subunit ribosomal RNA", at positions 338 to 795 of the family's 1533-position model. The record is from RNAcentral.
CCUACGGGAGGCAGCAGUGAGGAAUAUUGGUCAAUGGGCGCGAGCCUGAACCAGCCAAGUAGCGUGAAGGAUGACUGCCCUACGGGUUGUAAACUUCUUUUAUAAAGGAAUAAAGUGAGGCAAGUGUGCCUUUUUGUAUGUACUUUAUGAAUAAGGAUCGACUAACUCCGUGCCAGCAGCCGCGGUAAUACGGAGGAGCCGAGCGUUAUCCGGAUUUAUGGGGUUUAAAGGGAGCGUAGGUGGGUUGUUAAGUCAGUUGUGAAAGGUUGCGGCUCAACCGUAAAAUUGCAAUUGAUACUGGGAGUCUUGAGUACAGUAGAGGUAGGCGGAAUUCAUGGUGUAGCAGUGAAAUGCUUAGAUAUCGCGAAGAACACUGAUGGCGAAGGCAGCUUACUAGACUGCAACUGACGUUGAUGCUCGAAAGUGUGGGUAGCAAACAGGAUUAGAUACCCGGGUAGUC